CGGCGGACGGGUGAGUAACGCGUGGGUAACCUACCCCAAAGUCCGGGAUAACAGCGGGAAACCGCUGCUAAUACCGGAUGCCUUUACCUUGGGGCAUCUUGAGGUAAAGAAAGGUAACGCUUUGGGAUGGGCCCGCGUCCCAUUAGCUAGUUGGUGAGGUAACGGCUCACCAAGGCGACGAUGGGUAGCCGGCCUGAGAGGGUGGACGGCCACACUGGGACUGAGACACGGCCCAGACUCCUACGGGAGGCAGCAGUAGGGAAUAUUGCGCAAUGGACGGAAGUCUGACGCAGCGACGCCGCGUGAGCGAUGAAGGUCUUCGGAUCGUAAAGCUCCGUCCUUGGGGAAGAAGGCGAAAGCUUGACGGUACCCAAGAAGAAAGCCCCGGCUAACUACGUGCCAGCAGCCGCGGUAAUACGUAGGGGGCGAGCGUUGUCCGGAAUUACUGGGCGUAAA
Molecule: ribosomal RNA, 456 nt
Filed under: uncultured bacterium
Lineage: Bacteria
Description: bacterial SSU rRNA
Rfam family: Bacterial small subunit ribosomal RNA
Source: RNAcentral